AGAACCUUACCAGGUCUUGACAUCUUUUGAUCACCUGAGAGAUCAGGUUUCCCCUUCGGGGGCAAAAUGACAGGUGGUGCAUGGUUGUCGUCAGCUCGUGUCGUGAGAUGUUGGGUUAAGUCCCGCAACGAGCGCAACCCUUAUGACUAGUUGCCAGCAUUUAGUUGGGCACUCUAGUAAGACUGCCGGUGACAAACCGGAGGAAGGUGGGGAUGACGUCAAAUCAUCAUGCCCCUUAUGACCUGGGCUACACACGUGCUACAAUGGAUGGUACAACGAGUUGCGAGACCGCGAGGUCAAGCUAAUCUCUUAAAGCCAUUCUCAGUUCGGACUGUAGGCUGCAACUCGCCUACAUGAAGUCGGAAUCGCUAGUAAUCGCGGAUCAGCACGCCGCGGUGAAUACGUUCCCGGGUCUUGUACACACCGCCU
RNAcentral lists this ribosomal RNA (429 nucleotides) under uncultured bacterium. RNAcentral's name for it is "bacterial SSU rRNA". It matches the Rfam family "Bacterial small subunit ribosomal RNA", at positions 965 to 1395 of the family's 1533-position model. The record is from RNAcentral.